RNAcentral lists this unclassified non-coding RNA (257 nucleotides) under Mycobacteroides abscessus subsp. bolletii. RNAcentral describes it as "partial contains 16S ribosomal RNA, 16S-23S ribosomal RNA intergenic spacer, and 23S ribosomal RNA". The record is from RNAcentral. Lineage: Bacteria; Bacillati; Actinomycetota; Actinomycetes; Mycobacteriales; Mycobacteriaceae.
CCUUCCUUUUCUAGGAACCCCAUUUCCCAGUCGAAUGAACUAGGGGCAUAAAGUAGGCAUCUGUAGUGGGUAUCUACUUGGUGAAUAUGUUUUGUAAAUCCUGUCCACCCCCGUGGAUGGGUAGUCGGCAAAACGUCGGACUGUCGUAAGAAUUGAAACGCUGGCACACUGUUGGGUCCUGAGGCAACACGUUGUGUUGUCACCCUGCUUGGUGGUGGGGUGUGGACUUUGACUUCUGAAUAGUGGUUGCGAGCAUC